CGAAAGCCUGACGGAGCAAGACCGCGUGAGGGAGGAAGGCUCUUGGGUUGUAAACCUCUUUUCUCAGGGAAGAAGCACUGACGGUACCUGAGGAAUCAGCAUCGGCUAACUCCGUGCCAGCAGCCGCGGUAAUACGGAGGAUGCAAGCGUUAUCCGGAAUCAUUGGGCGUAAAGCGUCCGCAGGUGGUAGUUCAAGUCGAUUGUCAAAGGCAGUAGCUUAACUACUGAGAGGCAGUGGAAACUGAAAGACUAGAGUGCGGUAGGGGUAGAGGGAAUUCCCGGUGUAGCGGUGAAAUGCGUAGAGAUCGGGAAGAACACCAGUGGCGAAAGCGCUCUGCUAGACCGGCACUGACACUGAGGGACGAAAGCUAGGGGAGCG
RNAcentral lists this ribosomal RNA (379 nucleotides) under uncultured cyanobacterium. Its description in RNAcentral is "bacterial SSU rRNA". It matches the Rfam family "Bacterial small subunit ribosomal RNA", at positions 376 to 770 of the family's 1533-position model. The record is from RNAcentral. Lineage: Bacteria; Bacillati; Cyanobacteriota.